AUUACAUUCUAUUUUAUUCAUAUCUCAUAAUUUCUUCAAUCAUUCUCUAAUUCCAGGCCGCCAUUUUGUUUCAAGAUCCUUGCUAUCACAAGGACUGCUUUACAAACAUUUGGCUGUUUAUAAAACCUUACUUUCUGCCUUGAAAUCAUUGGUGUUUGAGCCCAUUAAGUGGCCUCUCAGGGUUAAAGGCUAUGGAUGGUCUUUGGUUAUUAAAAAGAGCAAAUUGCUGGCAUCUGUGCUGAGUUGGAAUUCCAUGAAGUAUGAAAGUCCUUGGGGAGGAAGAAGAAACAGCGUGCAUCCUAUAGGUGUUCCCCAGGCCUGACUCCUGUGGAAGAAAUGGAGAUGAGAACUACAGGGGAAGUGGAGAGAGUAUGGAUAAGGUCAAUGGGAAUUUUAGAGUCCAGAGAGAUUUUUUCCAUGAUGAUUUCUGAACAUGAUGUGUGAGGUUUUAUUACAUUCAUGCAAAUCAACUUCUGGAGUUUAAAAAUGGUGGCCAUGACUAAAUCAUGCUGGCUGUUUUCAGAAGGACUUCUUAUAGUUGGAUUUUCUUUUUUCCCCUCUUUUCUUUUUUAACUUAUAGCAUAGUUUGAAAUCCUCAGAGAACCAUCCCAUAACUAUGGGAGAAUCAAUUAAUUAACAAACAUUUAUUAUGUACCUUAGGGAUACAAAGAGAAGCAAAAGAUAAUCUCUGCUCUCAAGGAACUCAGUCUAAUGGGGGAGGCAACAUAUUAAAAAAAAUUAAGAAGAGGGAGAGUCCCUGGUAUGGGGGUAUAAUGAAGUCCAGAGGAGUGUAAAGAGAUGGCUGGCUUCAGUGCUCUCCUUAAAUGGAGAAUUUGAGAAAAACGUUCUCCUGUCCACCCUCUAUACUCUCCAGUCAGAGGAGCCCCAGGGGCAGGGGGAAUCGACCAAAAAGUUCUCUAGAAAUCAAUGAGUAGAGGUAGCUCAGUGGAAGGAGAGUCAAGCCUAGGGAUGAGACACAACUUGAGUUUUAAGAGAAAAAACAAUAUGCUGUGAUCGGAUGGGGACCCUUUGCAACAGUAGGGCAAACAAGAUCAGGGAUGCCUCUAGUAGGGUCCCAGCUGCUCCAUACAUUUGUUAUACAUCCCGCUUCUCCUUCUUUUCUCUGUUGAGUACAUUGGACAAACUCUUGCAAUCCCAUUAAACUUGGGAAUAUUCAGGAUGGCCUGUGCAUUUCUUUAAUUAGACAGGGAAUAUACUGAGCAGUCACCUGACCUUUUUUAGGGUCUGGAAGCCCCAUGUUCAUUCUGUUUUACUCCUCAAUAAGGGAUUAAUGCAGCAAGGGGUCUGCUUCAGAACAUCAUUCUCUCUAUGGUUCAGUUGAUUCAAAACCUUUGUUAGUGCUUACUAAAUAGGCAUUGGAGACCUAAAGGCAAAAGUCAAACAUUUCUUGCCCUCAAAGACCUUAUGAGAGAAGGCAGCCUGUACCUAUAUAAGUAUGUAAAAUAUACACAAAAUAAAUAUGAAGUCAUUUUGGGGAGGAGAGGUGCU
RNAcentral lists this long non-coding RNA (1509 nucleotides) under Monodelphis domestica (gray short-tailed opossum). RNAcentral's name for it is "lncRNA (ENSMODG00000031832.2)". Lineage: Eukaryota; Metazoa; Chordata; Mammalia; Didelphimorphia; Didelphidae. The record is from RNAcentral.